Molecule: long non-coding RNA, 504 nt
Filed under: Zonotrichia albicollis (white-throated sparrow)
Lineage: Eukaryota; Metazoa; Chordata; Aves; Passeriformes; Passerellidae
Description: lncRNA (ENSZALG00000000911.1)
Source: RNAcentral
CCCACGCCCUUCGGCUGCCACCGGAGCCAAUCACACGUUGGGGACAAUACUGGUGUGACGUCACGGUGAACGGCCUGGACACCGUGCGGGUUCCCAUGGACGUGGUUCAGUUCCUGCACCCCAAAACCAAACGCUUCCGCCAUUGGCAGCAGCAGCAGCAGCAGCAGCUGGAGAGCAGCAGGGAGAGGCUCCUCUGACCCCCCCUGAAGAUUUGGGGGUCCCCGGGGUGGAUUUGGGGGUCCCCGGGGUGGAUUUGGGGUCCCCAGAAUGGAUUUGGGGGUCCCUGGGAUGGAUUUGGGGUCCCCAGGGUGAAUUUGGGGUCCCCAGAAUGGAUUUAGGGGUUCCCCCCUUUUUUGGGAACCUGUGGGAUUUCCCAAAGGAAUCCACCAUAAAAGGGGAUCAGGAAUUUUUUUGGGACAUCCCAAAAUUUUUUUUUGGGGGGGGGGAUCCCAAAGUUUUUUGGGGUCUCAGAGAUUUUGGGGGGGGAUCUGGGAAUUUUGGGGA